This 2022-nucleotide long non-coding RNA is filed under the name Homo sapiens (human). RNAcentral's name for it is "HSALNT0191252". Lineage: Eukaryota; Metazoa; Chordata; Mammalia; Primates; Hominidae. The record is from RNAcentral.
CCUGGGAUUCAAAUGGCCUGGCAGGAAGUGCUCUAGCAGAGGGACUCUGGCCUUGCAAGAGUCCCUAUUUCCCCCUUUUUUUUUGCUUUUCACACAGUAAAACCCUGCUUUACUUCCCUUUGAGUCGUCUGUGAGCCUAAAUUUUUGUGGCUGUGGGAAGGACAAGAACCCCAUCUUUAGCUGAAAUAAGGAAAAGUUCCGCAACAUUUUUGGCACACACCCUGGGGGCUCCGGAAGUGGAAUGCUGUCGGAACUGGACCUUGAUGAAGGAAAUACUUUCUGACUCAUUGGAAUUUGUUAUAGUCAAAAACCCUCAACCCUGCAUCCUACCAUCCUGGGCUUGCACUGCAAGUUACAUGAUCCCUGAGCUGACCACUUUGGCUUGAAUCCCUGGAAGGAGAAAGGAGAGAGAGAGCAACUAGUUCAGACACAAGCAUCUAGUUCAGCUUUGUUUGCCUAUGUGAUAACUUAGGUCUUCACGAUGGCCCAGAGUAAGACGACGCAGGAGGACCCUUCUAGUCAUUUAAUUAUUGCUUGACCAGAACUGUGCCUUGUAAGGUGUUUCCAGACCUAAGAAUAACAGGAACAUGGAGGAGUGGCAUCUCCAGUGUAGCCACCCACCAAAGCCUCAUCCUGAACACUAUGGCCUAGUGGGUCACUUACAGGGAUGUAGCUGGCAUUGAUGUAGUCAGAGCAAGGAUCAUCAUCUACAUUGGAGAGCUUCACUCGCGUGGCAUCAUCUGGAAGGAGAGAUUUGCUGCUGAGUCUUGGAGUGACUUUUCUACAGUUUAUGUGAUGUGUGUGAUGUGCCUUAGCUCUGAUCCCCACAACAGCCACAGAUGGGAAGUGAUCUUAUCUCCAUUUUGCAGAUGAGGCUCAGGCAGGAUAACUAACUUGCCCCAUGUUGCAUAGGUGGCCUAUAACCAGUCAGACACAGGAGACAACAUGAAGCCCCAUCUGUGCUUCCCUUUCUGACAUUACCACAUUUGCCUGAUGGAGUGGCCAGCUCCCUUUCACUGCUGGAAUGAAUACAAUCCAGAAAACCUACCUUCUAUUGCUUUACCUAAUGGGGUAAGGAAAUUUAAGUAGAAAUUGCUAACCGAAGACUUUGCUAAGCAAACCCAGGUCUGCUUGAUGUCAGAGCCCUUGCUGUUAACCCCAUUUACUGCUUAGCCUCCAAAGAGAAGCAAUAGCAUCACAUGGGGAAAUGUCAACAGCAUAAGAGGACUUUCAUAAUCAGAAUUUAAACUGGCUAUUAUCCCUCUGGAGGGAAGUGCAGGAAUAUACAAGCUAUUUCUUAUUAAAGGCAUUCAGAGCUUGAGAUUGUCCAUAUCGAGCUAUAUUAUAUUUCUUUAGCCUCAUUUCAUUUUUGGAGAAAAAUGCAGAAAUGGCUAGAGGAAGACAGUAUUACAAAUUUUGACACAAAACUUACAGGGCAAUAUAUUGUUGUAUCGAUUUUUCCCUCUAUUCUCCGGCAAGAGUGCAAUGUCACAUGACUGGUUUCGGCCCACGUCUUUUAACUCCUGUUAGGUCAAAUAUGAGUUUGUAAGUGGAGAAUAUGAAAUAGAAUAAAGCAAAUCAUACAGUCCUGGAGAUAACAUAAUAACAUGAAAAUAUAUACACUAGCUAUUGUUUAUGAAUGCCUAGUACUCAACAUGCAUUAGCCCUGAUCCCCACAACAGCCCCACAAGGGAGGUGGUGGUCUCACUAUUUUACAGGUGAGGCUCAGUCAGGAUAACUGAUGUGCCCCAGGUCACCCAAGUGGCAAACCUGAGAAUCAGUUCCAAAAGCUACGUGCUUUUUGCGAAACCACGGCAUCUUCCAGCCAAGCAAAUGGCCAGGCUGAAUAUCUGACAGCUUUAGGUCUGCAUUUGAGAUUUGUUAAUUCUUCCUUACUAUCUGAUCCAGGUAGCCCUUGGUUUGCUGUGUUAUUCUGGAGCUCAAGCUGGCCUCUAAGAUUAGAUGGUAUAUUCUAUUCAGGGCAUAGUUUAGGCAUAAAAGAGUGCUCAGCUGAGAUUCUAA